RNAcentral lists this long non-coding RNA (616 nucleotides) under Olea europaea subsp. europaea. Lineage: Eukaryota; Viridiplantae; Streptophyta; Magnoliopsida; Lamiales; Oleaceae. The record is from RNAcentral.
GCGUAACUAGGCAUCUGAACUAGAGCAUCCGCGAAAGGGAUGUUGAUGUGAAGCUUUUUGAAGACCUCAAGGAAUUUUGUAUACUGCCUAUCUAACUUGUGUUUUUGCAGCCUCUGAGGAAAUGGAAUUGGCGGCUCGUAUGGUUUAAUAGGAGCAGUUUCCUUAAUUUGCGAUGUAUUUGAACUCUCUUUGAUAGAUGUAUCUGUUGUUUGUUCAGUCUGUUCUGCAUGCUCUUCAUCAGUAGAGGGUACUUUUUCCUUAUUUGCAGUUGGCCUCUUAACAUGGAACUCAGGUAAUUGGACCCCACUUCUAGUAGUAAUUACUUUGACGUGUUCUUUGGGAUUAACCUCUGUAUUGCUUGGCAAUGUACCUGGUGCUCUGCCCGAUAUAGCUUGUGCCAUCUGUCCCAUCUGAGUCUCCAAGUUUUUAAUUGCAGCACUUUGAUUCUGGAUAGUUGUCUCAGUCUUCCUCAUAAAUUGAUUAUUCGCAUCCAUGUACGGAUCUGUCUUUUCCAUGAAUUUACCAAACAUCUUUUCCAAGGGAGUUCUCUUCUCUGCUUGCUGAAACUGAGAACCAUGUGGUGCAGUGAGAUUUUGAUUGCUCCAGGAAAAAUUCG